CGAGCUCGGAAGUCGCGUCACUACUUCCCGCGCUGUUAACUCUCAUGGACUGACAUUUGGCGUCGUCCAUGAAAACAGCAUGGGAAUUCCGUCAGCGGUUCUGGAUGGACAUUAGGUUUCAGCCGACCUGUGACCAAUGUCGCAAGCGAACUACCCCAGACCGACAGGACUGUCUUACUGUAAGUGGACAGAACCCUGGUCAGAUAUAUCUAGGAAGGUGGUCUGAGCUCUAGUUGGGUGAUUUGGCGUCUGGGGUAUCUGAAGCUGGAUAGAUUUAUGACAUUUCAGCUGCAUUAUUCACUCCUUUAACAAAGUUUUUAACCCUGACGAACACCAUUAUUGAGGUACAAGGACCUUUAUGGUUAUAUGUGGGGAUCCGAUAUCAUGUACCCCUCCGUGAUAGUCCUGAGGGGAACAUGUAAUCAUACUGAGUCAAGUGCUUCAUAUUGGCUGUUUCCGAGCUGGGGUUAAAUUCUCUUGUGACUGGAUGGAUGAGUGCAGCUGAACUAGAAUAAAUCUAUUUUUGCAACAGUACCUCUUGCGUCGGAAAGUCUGAUUAGGGUAAAGGUCAUCUGGUCCAGAAAGUCUGACUGACGGAAUAGGAUGGCCUGCCAGUCCCCGGAGGAGGAGGAGGCGCCGACCACGGCGCAGAGAUCGUCGCCCUUCCCGAUCUCCCCCGGAGGAGGCGCCGUCCAAGGCGCAGAGAUCGACGCCGUCAUCCCGAUCUCUUUCCAUAUGCCCCCGGUCCAUAUGAGGACACGGGGGACGUGCCUGGAAGUGGCACCGAGACACUGCCAUGUUUCGUGUUGGUUUGACUUUCUUCACACUGAGCCACAGUGUGGAGGCAGUCAAAAGGGCCGUGCUAAGGGCCCAAGGGUGUGACAUAGUGGCAGGUCUAUGUCGCCGUAGAGCGGGGAAAUUCCGUUAGGCAAGUACGAUGUUGGGUGCCACGACUUUGGACUCAUCUGAAGCAUUAGUGCCUUUUCCUGAAGGAGAUUGUCUAACGUCUCGGACAGUCACCUGGUCAGGGUUUUCAAAUGCGUGGAGUCUAACUCUAGAUGGAUGACUUAGCAAUGGAAAUAUUUGGAACUCAGUUGGUUUUGUCAUUUCUCAACUUCGAACUGUCCCUUCUUUGACAAUGCAUUUAAUUCCAAAUACAGACAUGAAUCUGACACGAGUAUGGCUUUACAGCAUCAUGAUUGGGAAGUCAGGCCUGUGCGGUCGGGCUUGAUGGACCAAUGGACCGCCAUGUGUGUUGUACUGCUCUGUAAAUCUUGUGCUGGAGGAUUGUUUGUGUCUGGACUUCUAUACAUUGUGAAAGAAUGGACAAAACUAGUUGGGCCAUGACUAAAUCUUCUUGAGGCUUCAUCUAUCUU
Long non-coding RNA from Mizuhopecten yessoensis (Yesso scallop), 1376 nucleotides. RefSeq lists it as uncharacterized. The transcript is spliced from 9 exons. The record is from RefSeq and is a predicted model, not a curated record. NCBI's taxonomy places the organism in Eukaryota, Metazoa, Mollusca, Bivalvia, Pectinida, Pectinidae.